RNAcentral lists this ribosomal RNA (333 nucleotides) under uncultured bacterium. RNAcentral describes it as "bacterial SSU rRNA". It matches the Rfam family "Bacterial small subunit ribosomal RNA", at positions 1 to 334 of the family's 1533-position model. The record is from RNAcentral.
CGCGAGUAUUCAGAGUUUGAUCCUGGCUCAGAUUGAACGCUGGCGGCAUGCCUUACACAUGCAAGUCGAACGGUAACAGGUCUUCGGAUGCUGACGAGUGGCGAACGGGUGAGUAAUACAUCGGAACGUGCCCGAUCGUGGGGGAUAACGAAGCGAAAGCUUUGCUAAUACCGCAUAAGAUCUACGGAUGAAAGCAGGGGACCGCAAGGCCUUGCGCGAACGGAGCGGCCGAUGGCAGAUUAGGUAGUUGGUGGGAUAAAAGCUUACCAAGCCGACGAUCUGUAGCUGGUCUGAGAGGACGACCAGCCACACUGGGACUGAGACACGGCCCAG